This 324-nucleotide ribosomal RNA is filed under the name uncultured Pseudomonas sp. Its description in RNAcentral is "bacterial SSU rRNA". It matches the Rfam family "Bacterial small subunit ribosomal RNA", at positions 1060 to 1382 of the family's 1533-position model. Lineage: Bacteria; Pseudomonadati; Pseudomonadota; Gammaproteobacteria; Pseudomonadales; Pseudomonadaceae. The record is from RNAcentral.
UCGUGUCGUGAGAUGUUGGGUUAAGUCCGUAACGAGCGCAACCCUUGUCCUUAGUUACCAGCACGUUAUGGUGGGCACUCUAAGGAGACUGCCGGUGACAAACCGGAAGGAAGGUGGGGAGUGACGUCAAGUCAUCAUGGCCCUUACGGCCUGGGCUACACACGUGCUACAAUGGUCGGUACAAAGGGUUGCCAAGCCGCGAGGUGGAGCUAAUCCCAUAAAACCGAUCGUAGUCCGGAUCGCAGUCUGCAACUCGACUGCGUGAAGUCGGAAUCGCUAGUAAUCGUGAAUCAGAGUGUCACGGUGAAUACGUUCCCGGGCCUU